Molecule: ribosomal RNA, 256 nt
Filed under: uncultured bacterium
Lineage: Bacteria
Description: partial 16S ribosomal RNA
Rfam family: Bacterial small subunit ribosomal RNA
Source: RNAcentral
UACGUAGGGUGCGAGCGUUGUCCGGAAUUAUUGGGCGUAAAGAGCUCGUAGGCGGCUAGUCACGUCGGAUGUGAAAACCCGAGGCUCAACCUCGGGCCUGCAUUCGAUACGGGCUGGCUAGAGUACUGCAGGGGAGACUGGAAUUCCUGGUGUAGCGGUGAAAUGCGCAGAUAUCAGGAGGGAACACCGGUGGCGAAGGCGGGUCUCUGGGCAGUAACUGACGCUGGAGGAGCGAAAGCCGUGGGGAGCGAACAGG